CGGAUCUUCAUUAGCUUGCUUUUGAACUUCAGCGGCGGACGGGUGAGUAACACGUGGGCAACCUGCCUGUAAGACUGGGAAUACUUCGGGAAACCGGAGCUAAUACCGGUAAAUCCUUUUGCUCUCAUGAGCGAAAGCUAAAAGACGGCUUCUCGCUGUCCCUUACAGAUGGGCCCGCGGCGCAUUAGCUAGUUGGUGAGGUAAUGGCUCACCAAGGCGACGAUGCGUAGCCGACCUGAGAGGGUGAUCGGCCACACUGGGACUGAGACACGGCCCAGACUCCUACGGGAGGCAGCAGUAGGGAAUCUUCCGCAAUGGACGAAAGUCUGACGGAGCAACGCCGCGUGAACGAUGAAGGCUUUCGGGUCGUAAAGUUCUGUUGUCAGGGAAGAACAAGUACCGGAGCAACUGCCGGUACCUUGACGGUACCUGACCAGAAAGCCACGGCUAACUACGUGCCAGCAGCCGCGGUAAUACGUAGGUGGCAAGCGUUGUCCGGAAUUAUUGGGCGUAAAGCGCGCGCAGGCGGUUCCUUAAGUCUGAUGUGAAAGCCCCCGGCUCAACCGGGGAGGGUCAUUGGAAACUGGGGAACUUGAGUGCAGAAGAGGAGAGCGGAAUUCCACGUGUAGCGGUGAAAUGCGUAGAGAUGUGGAGGAACACCAGUGGCGAAGGCGGCUCUCUGGUCUGUAACUGACGCUGAGGCGCGAAAGCGUGGGGAGCAAACAGGAUUAGAUACCCUGGUAGUCCACGCCGUAAACGAUGAGUGCUAAGUGUUAGAGGGUUUCCGCCCUUUAGUGCUGCAGCGAACGCAUUAAGCACUCCGCCUGGGGAGUACGGCCGCAAGGCUGAAACUCAAAGGAAUUGACGGGGGCCCGCACAAGCGGUG
RNAcentral lists this ribosomal RNA (886 nucleotides) under uncultured bacterium. Its description in RNAcentral is "bacterial SSU rRNA". It matches the Rfam family "Bacterial small subunit ribosomal RNA", at positions 67 to 934 of the family's 1533-position model. The record is from RNAcentral.